AAUCAACGCUGGCGGCGCGCUUAACACAUGCAAGUCGAACGAGAAAGGGGAGCAAUCCCCGAGUAAAGUGGCGCACGGGUGAGUAACACGUGGGUAAUCUGCCUCUGGGUGGGGAAUAACUCUGGGAAACCGGAGCUAAUACCGCAUAAGCCUGAAAGGGGAAAGGCGAAAGUCGCCGAGAGAGGAGCCCGCGGUCGAUUAGCUAGUUGGUGGGGUAAAGGCUCACCAAGGCAGUGAUCGAUAGCCGGCCUGAGAGGGCACACGGCCACACUGGCACUGAAACACGGGCCAGACUCCUACGGGAGGCAGCAGUGGGGAAUCUUGCACAAUGGGGGAAACCCUGAUGCAGCGACGCCGCGUGAGCGAUGAAGCCCUUCGGGGUGUAAAGCUCUUUCGGCAGGGACGAUAAUGACGGUACCUGAAGAAGAAGCUGCGGCUAACUACGUGCCAGCAGCCGCGGUAAUACGUAGCAGCGAGCGUUGUUCGGAGUUACUGGGCGUAAAG
Molecule: ribosomal RNA, 504 nt
Filed under: uncultured bacterium
Lineage: Bacteria
Description: bacterial SSU rRNA
Rfam family: Bacterial small subunit ribosomal RNA
Source: RNAcentral